UCAUAAUUAUGAUAAUUUUCCUACUGAGGGCCAUUGGAUAUUCUCCUCAGCUAGCGAACUCUCACCACAGAGAGGAGCUGUUGCCAAGGUGCAAAACCUCUGCCUGGUUUCUGUGAUCUUAAGUCUGUGCAUAAAAGACUGAAAAUGAUGAUGAAUAAAGGGAAUAAAGAGUUUUGUUUCUUCCUCUUUAUUUAGGCUGCAUUAUAAGAAAUGUUUUAGCUUACAUUGGGGUUUGAUUGUUUGGCAGUAAAUUAAACAAUGGAAAUUUCAAAUUUACAUUUUGGUUGGAAUUAUGAAGUGAAUUUGUUAAUCAUGUCAUUUAUUUGAAUUUUAUUCUGUAAAUUACCUGAACUUCUACACAAAGUCUGUCUGACUGCAUAAUAUCUAAACAAUAAAUAAAAUUUGAU
Cyprinodon tularosa is the source of this 407-nucleotide long non-coding RNA. RefSeq lists it as uncharacterized. NCBI's taxonomy places the organism in Eukaryota, Metazoa, Chordata, Actinopteri, Cyprinodontiformes, Cyprinodontidae. The transcript is spliced from 2 exons. The record is from RefSeq and is a predicted model, not a curated record.